RNAcentral lists this ribosomal RNA (455 nucleotides) under uncultured bacterium. RNAcentral's name for it is "bacterial SSU rRNA". It matches the Rfam family "Bacterial small subunit ribosomal RNA", at positions 30 to 504 of the family's 1533-position model. The record is from RNAcentral.
UGAACGCUAGCGGGAUGCCUUACACAUGCAAGUCGAACGAGAACGGUCCUUCGGGAUGUCAGCUAAGUGGCGGACGGGUGAGUAAUGUAUAGUUAAUCUGCCCUUUAGAGGGGGAUAACAGUUGGAAACGACUGCUAAUACCCCAUACUCCUUUUACAUUAAUUGUAAUUGGGAAACGUUUUUUCGCUAAAGGAUGAGACUAUAUGGUAUCAGGUAGUUGGUGGGGUAAGAGCCCACCAAGCCAAUGACGCCUAGCUGGUCUGAGAGGAUGAUCAGCCACACUGGAACUGAGACACGGUCCAGACUCCUACGGGAGGCAGCAGUGGGGAAUAUUGCACAAUGGAGGAAACUCUGAUGCAGCAACGCCGCGUGGAGGAUGACGCAUUUCGGUGUGUAAACUCCUUUUAUAUGGGAAGAUAAUGACGGUACCAUAUGAAUAAGCACCGGCUAACUCC